Molecule: ribosomal RNA, 440 nt
Filed under: uncultured bacterium
Lineage: Bacteria
Description: partial 16S ribosomal RNA
Rfam family: Bacterial small subunit ribosomal RNA
Source: RNAcentral
CCUACGGGAGGCAGCAGUGGGGAAUAUUGCACAAUGGGGGGAACCCUGAUGCAGCAACGCCGCGUGGGUGAAGAAGGACUCCGGGAUGUAAAGCCCUGUCAGCAGGGAAGAAAAUGACGGUACCUGACCAAGAAGCCCCGGCUAACAACGUGCCAGCAGCCGCGGUAAAACGUAGGGGGCAAGCGUUAUCCGGAUUGACUGGGGGAAAAGUGAGCGUAGGCGGUAAGGCAAGUCUGGAGUGAAAGCCCUGGGCCCAACCAUGGGACUGCUUGGGAAACUGUGAUGCUGGAGGGCAGGAGGGGUAAGCGGAAUUCCUGGUGUAGUGGUGAAAUGCGUAGAUAUCAGGAGGAACACCGGUGGCGAAGGCGGCUUACUGGACUGUAACUGACGUUGAGGCUCGAAGGCGUGGGGAGCAAACAGGAUUAGAUACCCGAGUAGUC